AUGUUACUAUUGCAAGUUUUUCUUCUUGCUUCAGUACUUUGGUCUUAUGGAGAGGCCCAAGUACUGGUACAAUCUCAACUAUCCAUCACCAAAGCAGAAGAUAGAACUGCACGAAUUGACUGUCAUGUUUCUGGCAUAACCCUGAGUAAUGCUUAUAUACACUGGUAUCGACAGAGACCUGAUGCAGCUCUGGAACGGAUUCUCUAUUUUUCAUCAGGAACACCUGUCUUUGACCAGGAUUCUGGGAAGGAAAAGUUUGAGGCAGAUAAGCAGCUCUCCAAGUCGACAUGUACCCUGACAGUAAAGAAAACAACAACGAGUGAUUCAGCUACCUAUUACUGUGCCGCUUGGGAUCACACAGCAUUAAAAGACCAUUCACAUUCUGUACAAAAACUUACUUUGUAUUCUCAACUACAGUCUUUCAAAUAUAUGAAACCACAGCUACCUCCUAAUCCUGCUUCUUAUGAUAGAACCAGAUGGAGAAACCCCUUACUGGUUUCUGCAACCAGAGAUAAAAAGCAACAGAACUGUUGCUCUCACAAAUUUUGCAAACAAGAUCCCACCUGUGUCUGCCAAACAAACAAUAAGAUCACAUAG
Molecule: non-coding RNA, 597 nt
Organism: Gopherus evgoodei (Goodes thornscrub tortoise)
Lineage: Eukaryota; Metazoa; Chordata; Testudines; Testudinidae
Source: the annotation of a RefSeq genome assembly